RNAcentral lists this non-coding RNA (21 nucleotides) under Caenorhabditis elegans. Lineage: Eukaryota; Metazoa; Nematoda; Chromadorea; Rhabditida; Rhabditidae. The record is from RNAcentral.
UCGGAAAGAAAGCUGAAAACC